GCGGCCUAUCAGCUUGUUGGUGAGGUAAAGGCUCACCAAGGCGACGACGGGUAGCCGGCCUGAGAGGGCGACCGGCCACACUGGAACUGAGACACGGCCCAGACUCCUACGGGAGGCAGCAGUAGGGAAUAUUGGGCAAUGGGCGAAAGCCUGACCCAGCGACGCCGCGUGAGGGAUGAAGGUCUUCGGAUUGUAAACCUCUUUCAGUAGGGAAGAAGCGAAAGUGACGGUACCUAAAGAAGAAGCACCGGCUAACUAUGUGCCAGCAGCCGCGGUAAUACAUAGGGUGCAAGCGUUGUCCGGAAUUAUUGGGCGUAAAGAGCUCGUAGGUCGUUUGUCGCGUCGAUUGUGAAAAUCUGAGGCUCAACCUCAGACCUGCAGUCGAUACGGGCAAACUAGAGUGUGGUAGGGGAGACUGGAAUUCCU
RNAcentral lists this ribosomal RNA (426 nucleotides) under uncultured Actinomycetes bacterium. RNAcentral's name for it is "bacterial SSU rRNA". It matches the Rfam family "Bacterial small subunit ribosomal RNA", at positions 233 to 671 of the family's 1533-position model. Lineage: Bacteria; Bacillati; Actinomycetota; Actinomycetes. The record is from RNAcentral.